This is a long non-coding RNA of Zonotrichia albicollis (white-throated sparrow), 5665 nucleotides long. RefSeq lists it as uncharacterized. Lineage: Eukaryota; Metazoa; Chordata; Aves; Passeriformes; Passerellidae. The record is from RefSeq and is a predicted model, not a curated record.
UCGUGCAAAUCAUGUUGGGGUGUUCUGGAGCAGGACUGCUGCCUCUGCCCCCACACUGCAGCUGCCAUGGGGCUGUCCCUCACUGACCCUCACUGUUCCUGCUCCAUCCAGAGCAUUCCCAGCUGUGCUGAGCAGGACCUGGUGCUCUCAGGGAGAGCACACUCUGAGUGUUGGAUGCUGAUUUGGUCCCAGGCUGUGGAAGCUCCUGAGAGACUGAUUCUUUCUUGGAAUGUCCACAUGGACACAUCCAAUGGAGAAGAAAGCACAGUCUGGCUCCUCAGGUUGGGGGAAGGCUGGUUCACAAGUAACCAUGGCAACCAGGCUGUCACUGGGAGCACCAAGACAUUUUCAUACCAAAAAUAAAAUAGCCCAAACACACAACAGACAUUCCCACUCCAGCCUCCUUGGAGAUCCUACCUCAGUUUUGUUCCUCAGGGAUCCUGGCAGCAGCAGCAGGUGAGGAGAUUUUUCCUUCCUCUAUCUCCUGCACCAGCAGCAAACAUUGUUUCUGAUGAUAAACUUAAUAAUGGCUUCCAAUUAAAAGGGGAUAUUUGAGUUUUGAGUUGAAGAAACACUGAAGAUAAUUUUAUGUUCACCUUAAAAAGUUUCCAUCUGUCACACACUUCCCAAGCCAGUGUGCUCACAUCAAUAUUUAUAUCAGCCAGCCCAGUGUUUUCACAGAAAAGCCAUUAAUACAACAUAUCAGCUCUGGUGACAAGUUACAUUUUACAUUGCUGUCAACAAACAAAGAUGUUCUUUGUCUGCAAACUCCCCUUUUUUCCCUUUUCUUAAUCAAUCGUUAGGUUUGAGUUUUGAAGGAAAUGUGUAGAUGUGCUUUCCAAUGUUUGCUGGAGACAAGACAGAUGGAGCUUGUAGGAGCUGAUGGAAGGCACUGAUUAAUUUUCCUAGGAAAUAAAAUAACAGUUUUGGUGCAGGUUCUUUGCUUGGCAUGAUGAAACUCGCCAAAUUCCUGAGGAGAACCAGGCAACUUCAGGAGGUGAGUCCCCAAAAUAAAGAUUUAAUUUUGAAAACGCCUCAGAGUAUUGAUCACAGCGCUGUUGUUCCGGUUUAAUGCCAUUUGUACUUGUUCCCAUUGUUAAGGGGACAGGGGCCAGAUCAAAGCCAUAACACUUGGGAGUCUCGUGUCACUGCAUUGUGGAGGCACUGCACACUUCCAGGUGUCCCUGUCCUGCUCAGAGGGGCGUCCCUAGGGCUCUGCCACACCCCUCACACCCCUCUCCACAUUCACCCCUGCAACUUGACAUGAGAUCUUACACGAGCCCUCUGGAAACCAGUGUUUGGAUGCACUCUGUGAACCAUGGCACUGUUUCUUUUUCUUCCCAUGCCAAUGACUCUGUUAAGAGGUUUGUCAGUGUGUAUGGAAGUAAAACAUUUGAUAUAAGUGGAUUUUUUUUUUCAAACAAACAUCAGUUUAAAAAGCUACUCAUGCCAGUGGAACUAGUCAACUCCAGUGAUUUUAGUUGGAUUUAAGCAGCAGUAGAAGAAAAAUGGCAUAUCUGAACCAAACAUGUCAGCCCUGCAGCUGGUUAAUGGAACUGUAACUGUGUAACGAUCCCCUGCUAAUACCCAAUUUUUAAGCCACUUAAAAUCAGAUAAAAUAGCUCCAUUCCACAAAAUAUCCAUUGGGUCAACUGUGCCUUAUUGUUCAGAAUUCCCUUUUUCAGUCCUUGUGGAGCUGUCCAGCUGUCAGAUCUGUUAUAGCAGCCAAAUGACCCGCACACACCUGCCCUUAUUCCUUAUCAUGGGCUCCAAGGGAAGUUGGGAGCACCUGGGAAUUGUCCUCAGCUUCCACUGAAUUUUGGAGCUGAUAACAGACUCCCAUUUCUCUGAAGGAGGAGUGUGUCAUCAUUGGUGUUCUGCCUGGUUCUGUUUAAUUGCUCUUUAUUAAGAGCAUCCUCAGGCAUGGGAUAAUCCAUACAGAGACCAUGAUCCAUCCUGACUGAGCUGCAUCCCAUGGCUUGGGAGGAACCUGCUGCAAGGCUCAGCCAGGUAAGACUCCCAAAGGUGCAGAAAAACCAAAUGCAAGGUGGUCUCCUCAUGAGGGUAAAGGAGCUCAUGUGUUCAGUUUUCUGUUCAUCAUUUUCCUCUCCUAUUCUGCCAUCUGGUUCAUCUCUCAUCUCGUUUGGAAAAGCAAGGGACAAAUGGAAACACACCCAGAGAUAAUAACACUGCUCUGACAGUGCCAUGAUGGGAUAAUGAUCACCCUCACUGUGCUCACUCAUUUGGCUCUCAUUUGAAGGUCAUGGCUUGGAGUAUCUCUGUGAACAGAGCUAUGGCCAAAGUAGGGGGGAAAAUUCCAGACUGGGAUCAAAAUGUAGAACUCUUAAAAAUCCUCUGCAAGCCCUAGGAGUCCAUAUCUGUCCACAUACAAACUGUAGUUGUAAUUUGUGUAGUCUGAAGGUCUGGGCAGUCCAUGAGCUGUUGUUCCAGCUCAUGUAGACUGCAGGCAUCUCAGUGGUUCAUCCAGCUCCAGCUGACUUUAAAUUGGGAGCUGGUGACCUCCCAGAAAUGCACUGGGGAUUCCAGCUUUACUGAGCUCAAUGUUAACUCCCUCUGACUCUGAAGGCAUUGGGAUCAUGUGGCCAGUGCCCAAUAUGGUGACACUCAGAAAUAAAAAAAAAAACAACAAAGGGAAAUCACCUUUUUUUGCCUUGUCUACUUCCAGUUUUACAGCUGCAGCAGAGUAAGGGAAUGUUGCAUUUAUGCUCUUCAGCUGGAUGUACCAUUGGAUAUUUUGGUUAUCAGUGUGGAAAAAGCCAAUUUGAAGUAAUCUACUGAAAAAAUAAUUUUGAAGGUGUUUUUAAUGUCUUGCUUUAAGAACAAGAGUGGCUGAAGCUUGGAUUCAGGUGGCAAAUGCAAUUUCCUGUCCUGAAUGGCAAUGUCAGUGUGGUAAUUAGACCGUGAAGGACAAUACUAAUUUUAAGGUGUAUGUGGGUGGAGAAAAAAAAAUAUUGAAAUAAUCAACAUGUGAAAUCAUAAGUGAAUCCAGUUUCCUUGACAACUUCUACUGUGCAGCCUGAGUAUCCCUGAGAAUUCCACUGGGAAGCAAUGGGCAGCAGGUACUUACUGGAGGUGGGAAUGCUUUUGAGGGACAGCAGUGGGAAACUCUGGUUCAAACCUGUUUUACGUCUGCUUUUGUUCUUCCCAUCGAGCUCUGUGUCAUUGUUUUCACUUCCCAUUGAAUUGUUGGUGGUUCCUUUCCCUGGCAGAGGUGGGUAUGGCACUGGGAAGAGCUGUGGAUAAGUUUGUUGAAGUCCCUUUUUAUUUUCACUGAGAAAUUGAAUGGUCAUUAAAUUGUGUUACAUAAGUAGUUACAGCAGAAGAGCCUUUGGUUAGAGAUAGACCAAAACCAGUUUAAAAAGCAGUAGAAAAGUAUUUUGCUUUGGUGUUUCAGAUGCAGCAGGCCCUACAACCAUGCUCUGGACUGAUGUAUUCAGUCCCUCUGCUUCAUGCACUAAGUCAUCCCAACUGAAGCAUCAAAGAGCUCACCAGCCUUAUAAAAAAGAGGAAGUGUUGGGUUGUUUAGCUUUUCCCAUCCACCAUUUCAAUCUUUGCAUGAUAUCUUCAAAGAUUUUCUUUUUAAUAAAAAUGGAAUUGCUCUGAAAUCCCAUGAGAGGUCCUUUCAGGGAGAAAAUAAAAUUGCAAGACCCUAAAAAUCACAAGGAAUGACAAUGAAAUUGGGUUACAGAUUUAAUUGGCUUUAGUUGGAAAAACCAGCUACUGGAAAAAAACCUCAAAUGUAGCUAAACAAUAGUGCAGGUCAAAGGGAGUUCCUGAGGAGGGGGGGAAGGAUUAUAGGGGAUCAGGAAAGGAACAAGGGAUGUUUAAACCCAAAGAGGAAAAACAGAAUAAUUUGCUUUAUAUAUCUCCACAUAAACACAAUUUUAUAUAUGUAUUUAUAUGUGUAGAUAAAUACAUAAAUUCUAUUGCCCGCUGUAAAUCUUUUUAGAUUUCUUGUACAAAAUAUCAUUAUUGGGAUAAAAAGUUGAAAGAUAUUCUUUAAUACUCUCUCUUCCAUUGCCUUUUCUAUCUGUGGUACUUGCAACAAAAGUGGAGCUAAUUCUGUUUCAUGUUUGGGCACACAAUUUGACCAGAGGAAACUGCCACAGCACUGAUGCUGCAGGGUUUUUAGAUGAGUGACCCAGUGUAAUUCCCAGGGGCUAAACACCCUCUGGAACCCAAUGCCAGCUCAGGCCAGAAGGGCAAACCUGGCACAUGGGCCCAAAAUCACUUUCCUGUGCUGGUUGUUGACAGCAGCAAAGCCUCUACAGGAGCUGGGUGUGCUGAAAAGGACAACUUAUUGUGAUUCUAGAGAACUGUGAUCAGGAUUUACAACUCCACUGCAUCCUUGAUAUAACCAACACCAGAUGGUAAAUGAAGGAGUUUGUGAGGUAUUUCUUUAGUUUCUCCAAGGUGCUGGUACCAGAUCUAAUGCCAGCUGCUCAUCUUAAUAUGAACACUUGCUGGUGUGUAAACUCAGCCUAAUCCCCUCAAAUAGCCACUUCUUUACUGUAAUUGAUAUGUGACCUUUGUGAGCAGAGUAUCUGAGAACACAGGGAGGUUAAUGUAUUCUGUCUUUUCUCACCAGUGUGAGGCACUGAAGUAAUAAUCUCUCGUUAGAGAAGGGAACAGAGGGCACACGUCAUGUCCAAUAUUUUACCUGUGGCAGAGCUGUGAACUAACCCAGCUCUCCAGAGCCAGGCUCAGAGCUGGAGCAAAGAGGGCUCCUUGCUCUCACCAGACCAUCCAUGGGAUGAAUUGCAGUGCACAUUUAGAAGGCACUGCAAGCUUCUGAAUCCAGGAUACAAAUUUUCCUCUGCAGAUUUUGCCUUCAUUGCUCUUGCUCAGCUGCCAGGGUGGUGGUGUCGUGUUGUAGAGUUCUGGGAUUGCUGGAGGAAAGCAGUGCUUUGGUGCUUGGGGCAAAGACAGCAGAGGCUUUUCCUGAAACUAUUCUGUGUGGCUCUGCGUCAGAGAAAACGCCUCUCUCAUGACAGAGGCAGUGCUGAAACACUUUGGGUGAGAAAGGGUGUUUAUUUGAGGACACGCCUCCAAGGCUUUCAGAAGCAUAGCAGAGGCAUUCCCAUGUCUUACAGCACACAAGGUCAUCCACUGCACUCACAGCAAUGCCAUUUAACUUUGCCUUUCUCUAACCCCAGUGCCACUCCUAAUAAAGGCCACAGCCUUGGAAUCAGGAUGAACCUGGAGCCUGAAGGAGCCAGGCACACUCAGGAGAGGGCAAGUAGCUGCCUUGCUGGGAUUUGGCCCACAUAACUCUGGACUCAUACUUUGGUUUUGGUUUUCCUUAUUGUAGCUGACCGAGAGGCUCACAGGCGAUCACGGGGCCCUCCGAGGCAGACUCAUUUCAGGUGCAACGUGGAUCCACAUCACUGAUCAUCCAAAAGAUAAGUUGGGGGCCACAGCCUGAAGAUGGGAGAGUAGCUCCAACUUAUGGUUGGAGCUGCCCUGCCCUGGCAGGUAGUCACAGUUAGGUAUAACAGUUAUAGAAAUUUUACUGUACAUCUGUCUUCUAUGGGAUUUUGGGUAGUAAAUUUAUCAGCCCAGAGUGGGGACAAGUCCGAGCUGUCAGAUAGCCACUCGUUGACCCUUCCUGCUGUCUCACUGGUCCCCGAGGCUGCUGAUUUCC